AUUGAACGCUGGCGGCAUGCCUUACAACAUGCAAGUCGAACGGUAACAGGUCUUCGGAUGCUGACGAGUGGCGAACGGGUGAGUAAUACAUCGGAACGUGCCCGAGAGUGGGGGAUAACGAAGCGAAAGCUUUGCUAAUACCGCAUACGAUCUCAGGAUGAAAGCAGGGGACCGCAAGGCCUUGCGCUCACGGAGCGGCCGAUGGCAGAUUAGGUAGUUGGUGGGAUAAAAGCUUACCAAGCCGACGAUCUGUAGCUGGUCUGAGAGGACGACCAGCCACACUGGGACUGAGACACGGCCCAGACUCCUACGGGAGGCAGCAGUGGGGAAUUUUGGACAAUGGGCGCAAGCCUGAUCCAGCCAUGCCGCGUGCAGGAUGAAGGCCUUCGGGUUGUAAACUGCUUUUGUACGGAACGAAAAGACUCUGGUUAAUACCUGGGGUCCAUGACGGUACCGUAAGAAUAAGCACCGGCUAACUACGUGCCAGCAGCCGCGGUAAUACGUAGGGUGCGAGCGUUAAUCGGAAUUACUGGGCGUAAAGCGUGCGCAGGCGGUUAUGUAAGACAGAUGUGAAAUCCCCGGGCUCAACCUGGGAACUGCAUUUGUGACUGCAUAGCUAGAGUACGGCAGAGGGGGAUGGAAUUCCGCGUGUAGCAGUGAAAUGCGUAGAUAUGCGGAGGAACACCGAUGGCGAAGGCAAUCCCCUGGGCCUGUACUGACGCUCAUGCACGAAAGCGUGGGGAGCAAACAGG
RNAcentral lists this ribosomal RNA (752 nucleotides) under uncultured beta proteobacterium. Its description in RNAcentral is "bacterial SSU rRNA". It matches the Rfam family "Bacterial small subunit ribosomal RNA", at positions 28 to 776 of the family's 1533-position model. Lineage: Bacteria; Pseudomonadati; Pseudomonadota; Betaproteobacteria. The record is from RNAcentral.